This is a non-coding RNA of Bacteroidetes bacterium 38_7, 73 nucleotides long. The record is from Rfam. NCBI's taxonomy places the organism in Bacteria, Pseudomonadati, Bacteroidota.
GCCGAUGUAGCUCAGCUGGUAGAGCAGCUGAUUUGUAAUCAGCCGGCCGGCGGUUCGAGUCCGUCCAUCGGCU